RNAcentral lists this long non-coding RNA (436 nucleotides) under Populus trichocarpa (black cottonwood). RNAcentral's name for it is "long non-coding RNA (PTRI_LNC001474)". The record is from RNAcentral. Lineage: Eukaryota; Viridiplantae; Streptophyta; Magnoliopsida; Malpighiales; Salicaceae.
GAUAUCUUCAGGAGCAGAUGCACUGAGCUUGAAUUACUAUGAGAAAACAUGCCCUGAUGUCGAUUCCAUUGUUACGAAUGCUGUCAAUCAUGCAAUGAUGAAAGACAAAACGGUCCCCGCAGCGCUACUCCGGAUGCAUUUCCAUGACUGUUUCAUAAGAGUAGAGAUUAACAUUUCAUAUUUUUCUUCUAUCAUUUUCCUGCUCGUUGUUUGUUCCUAACUUGGAUGUUUGCAUCUUGUUUCAGGGCUGUGAUGCUUCUGUUCUGCUAAAUUCGAAAGGGAACAACAAAGCAGAGAAAGAUGGCCCACCUAACAUCUCUUUGCAUGCGUUUUAUGUCAUUGACAACGCAAAGAAAGAAGUGGAAGCUUCAUGCCCAGGAGUGGUAUCAUGCGCUGAUAUCUUGGCUUUAGCUGCAAGAGAUGCAGUUGUACUUGU